RNAcentral lists this ribosomal RNA (538 nucleotides) under uncultured delta proteobacterium. RNAcentral's name for it is "bacterial SSU rRNA". It matches the Rfam family "Bacterial small subunit ribosomal RNA", at positions 1 to 523 of the family's 1533-position model. The record is from RNAcentral. Lineage: Bacteria; Deltaproteobacteria.
GACUAGAGUUUGAUCCUGGCUCAGAACGAACGUUAGCGGCGCGCUUAACACAUGCAAGUCGCACGAGAAAGGGCUUCGGCCCCGGUAAAGUGGCGCACGGGUGAGUAACACGUAGGUAACCUACCCUCGAGUGGUGGAUAACCCUCCGAAAGGAGAGCUAAUACAGCAUAAGACCACGGCAUUCAGAUGCUGCGGAAAAAGCGGGCCUCUCUAUAGAAGCUCGUGCUCGAGGAUGGGCCUGCGGCCCAUCAUGCUAGUUGGCGAGGUAAUGGCUCACCAAGGCUAAGACGGGUAGCUGGUCUGAGAGGAUGAACAGCCACACUGGAACUGAGACACGGUCCAGACUCCUACGGGAGGCAGCAGUGGGAAUCUUGCGCAAUGGGCGAAAGCCUGACGCAGCGACGCCGCGUGAGCGAUGAAGGCCUUCGGGUUGUAAAGCUCUGUGGGGAGGGAAGAAUAAGCCUAGGCUAAUACCACUAGGUGAUGACGGUACCUCCUUAGCAAGCACCGGCUAACUCUGUGCCAGCAGCCGCGGUAA